UAUCUCUGUAGAGUCUGCAUAUCAAUAAGCGGAGGAAAAGAAACUAACUAAGGAUUCCCUUAGUAACGGCGAGUGAAGCGGGAAGAGCUCAAAUUUGAAAUCUUCAGGGUUCUACCUUGACGAAUUGUAGUUUAAAGAAGUGUUUUCUGUUGGAGUUUUGGUAAAAGUUCUUUGGAAUAGGACAUCAUAGAGGGUGAGAAUCCCGUAUUUGACCAUUAUUUCCAGCUUUGUGAUACACUUUCAAAGAGUCGGAUUGUUUGGGAAUGCAGUCCAAAAUGGGUGGUAAAUUUCAUCUAAAGCUAAAUACUGGCGAGAGACCGAUAGCGAACAAGUACCGUGAGGGAAAGAUGAAAAGAACUUUGAAAAGAGAGUUAAACAGUACGUGAAAUUGUCAAAAGGGAAGCGUUUGACACCAGUGUUGUUUUUCUCGAAAAUCAAUUACAAAUGGCAGUGAUUCUGUGUUGUAUUGACCUUAUCAAGCUUUCUUCACUUUUUUCAUGUCUUUCUUAAUGCACUUUUCGUUUAACAAGUCAACAUCAAUUUCUUUUGUUGUAAAAGAGUAUUCGGAAGGUGGCUUUCUUUUCGGAGAAAGUGUUUAUAGCCCUAUACUUCUACAAUCGGAGAGAUUGAGGUCUGCAGCGUAGAUCCUUCGGGGUUAGAUACACUUGUGCUAAGUUGUAGCUUUUCAUAGACAACCUGUUGACUAUGUUUAGUCAUGCGGCUUACUCGCUUGUGCUAUUUUACCUACGCUUAGGAUGUUGAAGAUGUAGCACAUCAU
RNAcentral lists this ribosomal RNA (778 nucleotides) under uncultured Neocallimastigales. RNAcentral's name for it is "partial large subunit ribosomal RNA". It matches the Rfam family "Eukaryotic large subunit ribosomal RNA", at positions 24 to 643 of the family's 3401-position model. Lineage: Eukaryota; Fungi; Neocallimastigomycota; Neocallimastigomycetes; Neocallimastigales. The record is from RNAcentral.